Molecule: transfer RNA, 87 nt
Filed under: Gemmatimonadota bacterium
Lineage: Bacteria; Pseudomonadati; Gemmatimonadota
Description: Gemmatimonadetes bacterium tRNA-Leu
Rfam family: tRNA
About the family: Transfer RNA (tRNA) molecules are approximately 80 nucleotides in length. Their secondary structure includes four short double-helical elements and three loops (D, anti-codon, and T loops).
Source: RNAcentral
GCCCAAGUGGUGGAAUUGGUAGACACGCUACGUUGAGGGCGUAGUGGUCGCAAGGCCGUGCUGGUUCGAGUCCAGUCUUGGGCACCA